This 671-nucleotide small RNA is filed under the name Pongo abelii (Sumatran orangutan). Its description in RNAcentral is "retained intron". The record is from RNAcentral. Lineage: Eukaryota; Metazoa; Chordata; Mammalia; Primates; Hominidae.
UUUUAAAAUUCGGUUGUUCUCAGGGCAUCUGUUUUCAGGAGUAGCUAUUUCUAGGUGUCUUCAUUCCUGGAUGUAGCGAUUUGGUGGGGCAGCUUUUCCAGGGAUAACCAGGUUCUCCCCAGGUGCUGAAGACGCGGCUGACCUUGCGCCGGACGGGCCAGUAUAAGGGGCUGCUGGACUGUGCCAGGCGGAUCCUGGAGAGGGAGGGGCCCCGUGCCUUCUACCGCGGCUACCUGCCCAACGUGCUGGGCAUCAUCCCCUAUGCGGGCAUCGACCUGGCCGUCUAUGAGACUCUGAAGAACUGGUGGCUUCAGCAGUACAGCCACGACUCGGCAGACCCAGGCAUCCUCGUGCUCCUGGCCUGCGGUACCAUAUCCAGCACCUGCGGCCAGAUAGCCAGUUACCCCCUGGCCCUGGUCCGGACCCGCAUGCAGGCACAAGCCUCCAUCGAGGGUGGCCCCCAGCUGUCCAUGCUGGGUCUGCUACGUCACAUCCUGUCCCAGGAGGGCAUGCGGGGCCUCUACCGGGGGAUCGCCCCCAACUUCAUGAAGGUUAUUCCAGCUGUGAGCAUCUCCUAUGUGGUCUACGAGAACAUGAAGCAGGCCUUGGGGGUCACGUCCAGGUGAGGGACCCGGAGCCCGUCCCCCCGAUCCCUCACCCCCCACACCUCA